This 492-nucleotide ribosomal RNA is filed under the name uncultured bacterium. RNAcentral's name for it is "partial 16S ribosomal RNA". It matches the Rfam family "Bacterial small subunit ribosomal RNA", at positions 29 to 507 of the family's 1533-position model. The record is from RNAcentral.
AGUGAACGCUGGCGGUAGGCCUAACACAUGCAAGUCGAACGGAAGCAUAGUAAGAUCUCUCCCUUACGGGUGGCGAGUGGCGGAUGGGUGAGACAUACAUAAGAAUCUACUUUUUCGUGGGGGACUACGUAGAGCAACUUCCGCUAAUACCUAAUAUGUCCUACGGGUGAAAGCAGGAGAUAUUCGUACCUUGCCUGAUUGAAUGAGCCGAUGUCGUAUUAGCUAGUUGGCGAGGUAAAGGCCCACCAAGGCGACGAUCCGUAGCUGGUCUGAGAGGAUGAUCAGCCACACUGGAACUGAGACACGGUCCAGACUCCUACGGGAGGCAGCAGUGGGGAAUAUUGGACAAUGGGCGCAAGCCUGAUCCAGCCAUACCGCGUGGGUGAAGAAGGCCUUCGGGUUGUAAAGCCCUUUUGUUGGGAAAGAAAAGCAGCAGGUUAAUACCCCGCUGUUCUGACGGUACCCAAAGAAUAAGCACCGGCUAACUUCGUG